RNAcentral lists this ribosomal RNA (443 nucleotides) under uncultured bacterium. Its description in RNAcentral is "partial 16S ribosomal RNA". It matches the Rfam family "Bacterial small subunit ribosomal RNA", at positions 338 to 795 of the family's 1533-position model. The record is from RNAcentral.
CCUACGGGUGGCAGCAGUGGGGAAUAUUGGGCAAUGGGCGCAAGCCUGACCCAGCAACGCCGCGUGAAGGAAGACGGCUUUCGGGUUGUAAACUUCUUUUCUCAGGGACGAAGCAAGUGACGGUACCUGAGGAAUAAGCCACGGCUAACUACGUGCCAGCAGCCGCGGUAAUACGUAGGUGGCAAGCGUUAUCCGGAUUUACGGGGUGUAAAGGGCGUGUAGGCGGGAAAGCAAGUCAGAUGUGAAAACCAUGGGCUCAACCUGUGGCCUGCAUUUGAAACUGUUUUUCUUGAGUACUGGGGAGGCAGACGGAAUGCCUGGUGUAGCGGUGAAAUGCGUAGAUAUGAGGAGGAACACCAGUGGCGAAGGCGGUCUGCUGGACAGCAACUGACGCUGAGGCGCGAAAGCGUGGGGAGCAAACAGGAUUAGAUACCCGAGUAGUC